Molecule: unclassified non-coding RNA, 1013 nt
Filed under: Zea mays
Lineage: Eukaryota; Viridiplantae; Streptophyta; Magnoliopsida; Poales; Poaceae
Description: misc RNA Zm00001eb248490
Source: RNAcentral
CUUCCAGAUAAAGCUGCCAGGUUCCAGUCCAAAGGAAAAAACGGUGGCCCGCUAGCUUCUCUGUGGGCGCUUGGGCGGAGAUCUGGAUAGCGCUGCACGCCACUGCUUCUCUUUCCCCGCGAGUGUCCGCUCCGUACACCGGCGACUACGAUCCUGUUUCUGGUGCGUACCUUACAGUCCAUCCUUCUCCACGUGUCUACGCUCUUCACUGCGCCAUGUGAUUCCUCCAGUAACAGAUCGCGCCCUCGACAGGUGAAAGGGAGUGUCGCAUUCCCCAUCAGCACUAUUACUGACGGCCGUCGCGUGGUGUUCCCGACGUGUGCUACCAUCUCCAGUACACCCAAUCCUCAACGUGUCGACGAUCCACGCAGGUGAUUUGGAUAGCGUGCAUAUUUUGUCACCAACAGGACCAAUACAUCUGGGACUAAUACAUCUGCUAUUAUCGAUGGACUACACACUUCUACCAGAUUUAACAACGUAUAAAAAACAUGCGAUAAUCCAGGUCCAUGUCUCAAGAAAAUGGUCUUUCCAUGGCGCCACUGAAAAUGGUCCCUUGCAGCACAUCGACAUGGUCCUAUCAGAUUGCAAGGGUAAUAGUAUGGAUGCUGAAAUACCAGCAAAUCUUGCCGAAGAAAAGGGAGCACUCAUCGAAACAAAUCAGAUCUACAACAUCAGACGUUUUAGAGUUACUGCAGCAAAAACAGCCUACAAACCCAUUGAUGGUGACAAGAUGAUACAAUUUACGAUUUACACAAUUAUCAAGCCUGCAAGUAACCCACCACCUACAUUUCCUUUAUAUAUCUAUCAAUUAACUCCAUUUGAAGAGAUUGAAUCUCAAAUUCAGCACAAGACCAAAUUCCUAGAUGUUCUUGGAACUAUAACCGAGGUAACUGCUUUGAAGACAGUACACAUAGAAGGACAACUCAGCCCCACUAUUAUUAGAGACGUAAUGAUAGAAGAUCUAAGGUUUAUGCAUCCAGGGGCUCAAGUUGGAUUAUCGAUAGCGGGUGCAC